RNAcentral lists this ribosomal RNA (2833 nucleotides) under human gut metagenome. RNAcentral describes it as "bacterial LSU rRNA". It matches the Rfam family "Bacterial large subunit ribosomal RNA". The record is from RNAcentral.
UCAAGCGAACAAGGGCGCAGGGCGAAUGCCUUGGCACUGGGAGCCGAUGAAAGACGUGAUAAGCUGCGAUAAGCUUCGGGGAGCUGCAAAUAAGCAUUGAUCCGGAGAUUUCUGAAUGAGGAAACUCACCUGGGUUCAUACUCAGGUACGUUAUACUGAACUUAAAAAUAGGUAUAUCGAGGGAACCGCCUGAACUGAAACAUCUAAGUAGGGCGAGGAAGAGACAUCAAACGAGAUUCCGUAAGUAGUGGCGAGCGAACGCGGAAGAGGGCAAACCGGAAGUAGAAAUACUUCCGGGGUACGGACCGCAUUUAGGACUUAAGUUGUUAACCGAACGGCAUGGGAAGGCCGGUCAGAGAGUGUGAGAACCACGUAGGUGAAAACGACAAGAGCUGAGCGAGUUCCAGAGUACGGCCAGACACGUGAAACCUGGUCGGAAUACGGGGGGACCACCCUCCAACCCUAAAUACUACCCAGUGACCGAUAGCGUAUAGUACUGUGAAGGAAAGGUGAAAAGCACCCCGGGAGGGGAGUGAAAAAGAACCUGAAACCCUGUGCCUACAAGCACCUAGAGCACGUCAAAGUGUGAUAGGGUACUUUUUGUAGAACGGUCCGGCGAGCGAUUGUAUGCAGCAAGGUUAAGGACUUAAGGUCUGGAGCCGAAGCGAAAGCGAGUUUGAAAAGGGCGUUAAGUUGCAUACAAUGGGCCCGAAACCGGGUGACCUACCCAUGGUCAGGUUGAAGUGGAAGUAAAAUUCCAUGGAGGACCGAACCGACCUCCGUUGAAAAGGCGGCGGAUGAACUGUGGGUAGCGGAGAAAUUCCAAUCGAACCCGGAGAUAGCUGGUUCUCCCCGAAAUAGUUUUAGGACUAGCCUCAAGUUAGAUACCUGGAGGUAAAGCACUGAAUAGCCUAGCGGCCGAGAGGUUAGCGAAGCUUAUCAAACUCAGAAUGCCAGAGUAUUGAUGCUUGGGAGUCAGACAGUGUCAGAUAAAUGUCAUUGUCAAAAGGGAAACAGCCCAGAUCUACAGCUAAGGUCCCAAAGUCAGGUUAAGUGGAAAACGAUGUGAAGAUACGUAGACAACCAGGAUGUUGGCUCAGAAGCAGCCACACAUUCAAAGAGUGCGUAAUAGCUCACUGGUCGAGCGUCUUUGCGCGGAGAAUUUAACGGGGCUAAACCUGACACCGAAGCUUAGGCAAUACAGCAAUGUAUUGGGUAGGGGAGCGUUGUAUACGCGGUGAAACAGUAGCGCAAGCGGCUGUGGAGUGUAUAGAAGUGAGAAUGCCGGAAUGAGUAGCGCGAAUGCAGUGAGAAUCUGCAUGGCCGAAAGCCUCAGGUUUCUGGAGGAAGGUUCGUCCGCUCCAGGUUAGUCGGGAGCUAAGGUGAGGCCUAACGGCGUAGCCGAUGCACAGACGGUAGAGAUUCCGUCACCACCAAAAGAGUUAAGCACAGGGACACAUUUGAAGUCUCGGAGCCGGGUGUUGGUUCCGGUAGCGAUCGAGGGAAGUUAGUACCGAAGUCCGGGAUGGAAGAUGGCGAGAAAAGCUGUGUGUAUUUCUGAGGUGCCCGUACCGCAAACCGACACAGGUAGGUAGGAAGAAGAUUCUAAGGCCAACGGGAGAAGGGUUGUUAAGGAACUCGGCAAAUUGACCCCGUAACUUCGGGAGAAGGGGUGCUCCAGAGAUGGAGCCGCAGAGAAUCGGCCCAAGCAACUGUUUACCAAAAACACAGGUUUGUGCUAAAUCGAAAGAUGACGUAUACGAGCUGACGCCUGCCCGGUGCUGGAAGGUUAAGAGGAGAUGUGCAAGCAUUGAAUCGAAGCCCCAGUGAACGGCGGCCGUAACUAUAACGGUCCUAAGGUAGCGAAAUUCCUUGUCAGGUAAGUUCUGACCCGCAUGAAAGGCGUAAUGAUUUGGGCACUGUCUCGACAGCCCGCCCGGCGAAAUUGUAGUACCGGUGAAGAUGCCGGUUACCCGCGACAAGACGGAAAGACCCCAUGGAGCUUUACUGUAGCCUAAUAUUGGGUUUCGAUGUUGCAUGCACAGGAUAGAUGGGACACAGGGAAACAAGUGCUUUGGCAUUUGUGGAGUGGCCGUUGGGAUACCAUCCUUGCGAUAUUGGAAUUCUAACCUGCGCCUUUGAAUCAAGGCGGGGGACAUUGUUAGGUGGGCAGUUUGACUGGGGCGGUCGCCUCCUAAAGAGUAACGGAGGCGUUCAAAGGUUCGCUCAGCUUGAACGGAAAUCAAGCAAAAGAGUGCAAACGCAGAAGCGAGCCUAACUGCGAGACUGACGGGUCGAGCAGUAACGAAAGUUGGAGUUAGUGAUCCGGUGGUAUGUGAGUGGAAAUGCCAUCGCUCAACGGAUAAAAGUUACCCUGGGGAUAACAGGCUGAUCUCCCCCAAGAGUCCACAUCGACGGGGAGGUUUGGCACCUCGAUGUCGGCUCAUCGCAUCCUGGGGCUGUAUUCGGUCCCAAGGGUUUGGCUGUUCGCCAAUUAAAGCGGUACGCGAGCUGGGUUCAGAACGUCGUGAGACAGUUCGGUCCCUAUCUGUCGUGGGCGCAGGAUAUUUGAUGGGAGCUGUUCCUAGUACGAGAGGACCGGAGCGGACGUACCUCUGGCGCACCAGUUGUUCUGCCAAGGGCAUAGCUGGGCAACUAUGUACGGAUCGGAUAAACGCUGAAAGCAUCUAAGCGUGAAGCCGACCCAAAGAUAAGAUAUCCCAUUGUUUCAAACAAGUAAGACCCCUUGAAGACUACAAGGUUGAUAGGCACGAUGUGUAAGUGGAGUGAUCCAUUCAGCAAGCGUGUACUAAUAGGUCGAGGGCUUGACCAC